UUGGUUCUACAGAAUGGGUUCCAGAUGACUUUGGGUCUCAGAUGACUGUGUGGUUUCGAAUUCAAGCCGAAGCUUUGAACCUGUGCUCCGUGACACACAGCCAACCAGUCGUGUUUGCAUCAUUUGCAUCAUAACAUGUUUAUUUUCAAAAAAAUAAAUAAAUAAUGCAAUAAAAAAAAUGAAAAAAGAAAAAAGAAAAAAGCUAAUAUCCUCAUGCAUAUUGUAAGACCCCACUUUUG
Molecule: long non-coding RNA, 239 nt
Filed under: Lathyrus oleraceus (garden pea)
Lineage: Eukaryota; Viridiplantae; Streptophyta; Magnoliopsida; Fabales; Fabaceae
Description: Pisum sativum (pea) long non-coding RNA (PSAT_LNC027849)
Source: RNAcentral